ACUUCGGGAUAAGCCUGGGAAACUGGGUCUAAUACCGGAUAGGACCUUCUGCCGCAUGGUGGGGGGUGGAAAGGUUUUCCGGUGCAGGAUGGGCCCGCGGCCUAUCAGCUUGUUGGUGGGGUAACGGCCCACCAAGGCGACGACGGGUAGCCGGCCUGAGAGGGCGACCGGCCACACUGGGACUGAGACACGGCCCAGACUCCUACGGGAGGCAGCAGUGGGGAAUAUUGCACAAUGGGCGCAAGCCUGAUGCAGCGACGCCGCGUGAGGGAUGACGGCCUUCGGGUUGUAAACCUCUUUCAGUACCGACGAAGCGCAAGUGACGGUAGGUACAGAAGAAGCACCGGCCAACUACGUGCCAGCAGCCGCGGUAAUACGUAGGGUGCGAGCGUUGUCCGGAAUUACUGGGCGUAAAGAGCUCGUAGGCGGUUUGUCGCGUCGUCUGUGAAAACCCGCAGCUCAACUGCGGGCUUGCAGGCGAUACGGGCAGACUUGAGUACUGCAGGGGAGACUGGAAUUCCUGGUGUAGCGGUGAAAUGCGCAGAUAUCAGGAGGAACACCGGUGGCGAAGGCGGGUCUCUGGGCAGUAACUGACGCUGAGGAGCGAAAGCGUGGGUAGCGAACAGGAUUAGAUACCCUGGUAGUCCACGCCGUAAACGGUGGGCGCUAGGUGUGGGUUUCCUUCCACGGGAUCCGUGCCGUAGCUAACGCAUUAAGCGCCCCGCCUGGGGAGUACGGCCGCAAGGCUAAA
RNAcentral lists this ribosomal RNA (751 nucleotides) under Rhodococcus ruber. RNAcentral describes it as "bacterial SSU rRNA". It matches the Rfam family "Bacterial small subunit ribosomal RNA", at positions 135 to 898 of the family's 1533-position model. Lineage: Bacteria; Bacillati; Actinomycetota; Actinomycetes; Mycobacteriales; Nocardiaceae. The record is from RNAcentral.